GACGAACGCUGGCGGCGUGGAUUAGGCAUGCAAGUCGAACGGUAUCAUCCUUUCGGGGGUGAGAGAGUGGCGAACUGGUGAGUAACACGUAGGUUAUCUACCCUCAAGACGGGGACAACCCAGGGAAACUUGGGCUAAUACCGGAUGUGAGCAACUUUUAGUUGUUUGAAAGGUGGCGUAAGCUGUCGCUUGGGGAUGAGCCUGCGUCCUAUUAGUUAGUUGGUGAGGUAACGGCUCACCUAGGCAAUGAUAGGUAGGCGGCCUUAACGGGUGGUCGCCCACACUGGGAUUGAGAUACGGCCCAGACUCCUACGGGAGGCAGCAGUCGAGAAUAGUCUACAAUGGUCGGAAGACUGAUAGUGCGACGCCGCGUGAACGAUGAAUCCCUUCGGGGUUAAAGUUCUUUUAUAUGUGAGCAGUGCUUCUAUAUUAACAGUAUGGGGAGAGAGAUAUUAGCAUAUGAAUAAGCAACGGCUAACUCCGUGCCAGCAGCCG
This 495-nucleotide ribosomal RNA is filed under the name uncultured bacterium. Its description in RNAcentral is "bacterial SSU rRNA". It matches the Rfam family "Bacterial small subunit ribosomal RNA", at positions 28 to 517 of the family's 1533-position model. The record is from RNAcentral.